CCAUUCUCAGUUCGGAUUGUAGGCUGAAACUCGCCUACAUGAAGCUGGAGUUACUAGUAAUCGCAGAUCAGAAUGCUGCGGUGAAUGCGUUCCCGGGUCUUGUACACACCGCCCGUCACACCACGGAAGUUGGGGGCGCCCGAAGCCACUUAGCUAACCCAUUUGGGAAGCGAGUGUCGAAGGUGAAAUCAAUAACUGGGGUGAAGUCGUAACAAGGUACC
This 221-nucleotide ribosomal RNA is filed under the name uncultured bacterium. RNAcentral's name for it is "partial 16S ribosomal RNA". It matches the Rfam family "Bacterial small subunit ribosomal RNA", at positions 1282 to 1500 of the family's 1533-position model. The record is from RNAcentral.